RNAcentral lists this ribosomal RNA (973 nucleotides) under Mortierella alpina. RNAcentral's name for it is "eukaryotic LSU rRNA". It matches the Rfam family "Eukaryotic large subunit ribosomal RNA", at positions 92 to 926 of the family's 3401-position model. The record is from RNAcentral. Lineage: Eukaryota; Fungi; Mortierellomycota; Mortierellomycetes; Mortierellales; Mortierellaceae.
AGUGAAGCGGGAUGAGCUCAAAUUUAAAAUCUGGCUGGUUUACUAGUCCGAAUUGUAGUUUAAAGAAGCGUUUUCGGUGGCAGCCUGGGUAUAAAUCCUUUGGAACAGGGUAUCAUAGAGGGUGAGAAUCCCGUCUUUGACUCAGUGCAUGCUACUAUGUGAUACGUUUUCAAAGAGUCGAGUUGUUUGGGAAUGCAGCUCAAAAUGGGUGGUAAAUUUCAUCUAAGGCUAAAUAUUGGCGAGAGACCGAUAGCGAACAAGUACCGUGAGGGAAAGAUGAAAAGAACUUUGAAAAGAGAGUUAAACAGUGCGUGAAAUUGUUGAAAGGGAAACGCUUGACACCAGUCAUGCGAGCGGAAAAUCAGUCUUUUGCAGUGGGGAGUUGUGUGGGUUCGGACCGCAAGGCCGGCCUGCGCUGCAUCUCUGCUGUAAGUGAUGCACUUUUUCGUUUGCAGGCCAACAUCAGUUUCUUCUGCUGGACAAAACUCUUGAGAAGGUAGCAGCUUUGGCUGUGUUAUAGCUCUUGAGCGAUACAGUGGAGGGGACUGAGGUUUUCGCAGCGCGUGCUCUCGGGCAAGGCUGAUUGGGUGCUAUGGGAUCGUUCGGUGUACAAUGCUUGCAUUUUGCGCCGUGUCUUUUCUGUACUCGCUCAACUCGGCUCUUCCGCGCUUAGGAUGUUGGCUUAAUGGUUUUAAUCGACCCGUCUUGAAACACGGACCAAGGAGUCUAACAUAUAUGCAAGUGUUUGGGUGGCAAACCCAUGCGCGUAAUGAAAGUGAACGUAGGUGCCAUCCGCAAGGUGCAGCAUCGACCGAUCUUGAUAUUUUUGGAUAGAUUUGAGUAAGAGCAUAUAUGCUGGGACCCGAAAGAUGGUGAACUAUGCCUGAAUAGGGUGAAGCCAGAGGAAACUCUGGUGGAGGCUCGUAGCGAUUCUGACGUGCAAAUCGAUCGUCAAAUUUGGGUAUAGGGGCGA